This 374-nucleotide ribosomal RNA is filed under the name uncultured bacterium. RNAcentral's name for it is "bacterial SSU rRNA". It matches the Rfam family "Bacterial small subunit ribosomal RNA", at positions 524 to 898 of the family's 1533-position model. The record is from RNAcentral.
UACGAAGGGGGCUAGCGUUGUUCGGAAUUACUGGGCGUAAAGCGCGCGUAGGCGGACUGGUCAGUCAGGGGUGAAAUCCCGGGGCUUAACCUCGGAACUGCCUUUGAUACUGCCAGUCUCGAGUCCGGAAGAGGUGAGUGGAAUUCCUAGUGUAGAGGUGAAAUUCGUAGAUAUUAGGAAGAACACCGGUGGCGAAGGCGGCUCACUGGUCCGGUACUGACGCUGAGGCGCGAAAGCGUGGGGAGCAAACAGGAUUAGAUACCCUGGUAGUCCACGCCGUAAACGAUGGAUGCUAGCCGUUGGAUAGCAUGCUAUUCAGUGGCGCAGCUAACGCAUUAAGCAUCCCGCCUGGGGAGUACGGCCGCAAGGUUAAA